Molecule: transfer RNA, 84 nt
Filed under: Oligoflexales bacterium
Lineage: Bacteria; Pseudomonadati; Bdellovibrionota; Oligoflexia; Oligoflexales
Also listed under: 1 other name
Description: tRNA-Leu
Rfam family: tRNA
About the family: Transfer RNA (tRNA) molecules are approximately 80 nucleotides in length. Their secondary structure includes four short double-helical elements and three loops (D, anti-codon, and T loops).
Source: RNAcentral
GCGAGGGUGGUGGAACUGGUAGACACGCAAGCUUGAGGUGCUUGUGGGAGCGAUUCCGUAGGGGUUCAAGUCCCCUCUCUCGCA